RNAcentral lists this ribosomal RNA (446 nucleotides) under uncultured bacterium. Its description in RNAcentral is "partial 16S ribosomal RNA". It matches the Rfam family "Bacterial small subunit ribosomal RNA", at positions 338 to 795 of the family's 1533-position model. The record is from RNAcentral.
CCUACGGGAGACUGCAGUCGAGAAUCAUUCACAAUGGGGGAAACCCUGAUGGUGCGACGCCGCGUGGGGGAAUGAAGGUCUUCGGAUUGUAAACCCCUGUCAUGUGGGAGCAAAUUAAAAAGAUAGUACCACAAGAGGAAGAGACGGCUAACUCUGGUCCAGCAGCCGCGGUACUACAGAGGUCCCAAGCGUUGUUCGGCAUCACUGGGCGUAAAGCGUGCGUAGGCUGUUUUGUAAGUCGUGUGUGAAAGGCGAGGGCUCAACCCGCGGACGGCACAUGAUACUGCGAGACUAGAGUAAUGGAGAGGGAACCGGAAUUCUCGGUGUAGCAGUGAAAUGCGUAGAUAUCGAGAGGAACACUGGUGGCGAAGGCGGGUUCCUGGACAUUAACUGACGCUGAGGCACGAAGGCCAGGGGAGCGAAAGGGAUUAGAUACCCGAGUAGUC